This 188-nucleotide non-coding RNA is filed under the name Candidatus Ruminococcus equi. RNAcentral's name for it is "6S RNA". It matches the Rfam family "6S / SsrS RNA". Rfam says of the family: E. coli 6S RNA was the first non coding RNA to be sequenced, but its function was unknown until recently. Lineage: Bacteria; Bacillati; Bacillota; Clostridia; Eubacteriales; Oscillospiraceae. The record is from RNAcentral.
AAUGUCCUGCUUAAUUCGUGUAUCGGCAACAAAUAACCCUACAACCUUUAAAUCGGGAGUUUUACUCCGUGUGCCGUGUGCAGACCUCCUCGUAAGAGACGAAGGGAGCCUGACGCACUCGGGUGGACACCCACCUGUCAUUAUGUAGGCAGGUUAUCUUAAUGCCGUUGCGGUUAAGCGGGAUUUUU